This 1259-nucleotide long non-coding RNA is filed under the name Fragaria vesca (wild strawberry). RNAcentral's name for it is "long non-coding RNA (FVES_LNC004377)". The record is from RNAcentral. Lineage: Eukaryota; Viridiplantae; Streptophyta; Magnoliopsida; Rosales; Rosaceae.
GAUGGAUACCCCUCUCCUCAUUCGUUUAGGGCGAGGCCCGGCCUCGUUUUUUUUGCUCUCUCUUGCUUGCUCCCGUGCUGCUUACUUGGCUUACUUCUUCUCCUCUUUGUCCCAUGCGGACUACUGCUUUCAUGUACAUCUUCUUCUCUCCCCGGCCCUCCUAACGUCAGGAAUAGCGAUCCGGGAAUGCAAUUAUCUAGCGACUAAAGCAAGUUACUAAAGAAAAGGGCUGCCCUUACUCUAUUCCAGUUAUGUAAGGAAUAGCGGGCAGGAUGAUAGCAACAAGCAGAUUCGACUUCUUGUUACAGGUCUGAUGUCCUCUUUUACUAGCUACUAAAAUAGCCUGACUCCACUUCUAAUAUAGUUAGUGAGCGCUUACAGUCCGAGAAAUGUGGUUAUUCCGAGAGCAAGUUAUUGGUGGGAUCUGAGUGUGCUGAUUACAGACAAUUUUUCGCUAUGGCAGUCUGAAAAGUAAGGUUCUUACGGGAACACCGUCGAGGUUUAAUAUCCAAAGUCGCUAGUUUAGUUGAAGGCUUUAUUUAAACUGCUGCUCUGAAAAAAAGGCAAAUUGAGACAGCCUAGCGACUGCCUCAGAUAAAAGAUCUUUCUCCAGGAAACCAACUGGUGAUGGGAUAGGUUUCAUUUUGAGUCAAAAUUAGGGAUGAAGUGGUUUUCUUGCCUCUUCCUUCAAACUAUACUUACACCUCAGCAGCCGUUAAUAGCAAACCCAACCUGGUGGAUUGGGAUACUAUGAGGACCCCUUUAGACUUAAAAAAGCUAGAGGGCCUAUCGAAGUGGGUCCUUGCGCACCAAAGACAAUGAUGGAUGGUACCAGGUUUCGCUACACUUUACUUUUACGAAUCCAGGCGCGUCCGGUAGAAUUGGUAAGAUCCACUUAAAGGAACAAGGUCGAAAUGACCCCUAGCCAGGAUGGUAGCCGACUGUAAGCACAAGACGGGAUUGAUUGGAGAUAUCCCAAGUUCCCAGCUAUACUUGUGGAUCUUCGGUUUACAGAGAAAAAACGAGGAGAGAGAGGGUCCCCAGACAAUUGUCGUCAGGUUGGAACCCACACCUAGAAAGUUUCCGUUUCCUAUAGCUGGUUGACAGGCUAAAAACGUUCUUCACUAUUCUUCCUGACGCCGAGGAAGAUAUGAAACACAAGGACGGAUCACUGUAAUGACUGCCUCUGUCCCGAAGAAUGCUCGUUGAAAAGUAUGCUCGGUUGCAGGCUUCAGUGACGAUAAAGGAUCCGGCAUAUG